UACAGAGGUGGCAAGCGUUGUUCGGAAUUACUGGGCGUAAAGGGCGCGUAGGCGGUUCGUUAAGUCCUGUGUGAAAUCCCCCGGCUCAACUGGGGAACUGCACAGGAAACUAGCGGGCUUGAGGACUGGAGAGGAGACUGGAAUUUACGGUGUAGCGGUGAAAUGCGUAGAUAUCGUAAGGAAGACCAGUGGCGAAGGCGGGUCUCUGGACAGUUCCUGACGCUGAGGCACGAAGGCCAGGGGAGCAAACGGG
This 253-nucleotide ribosomal RNA is filed under the name uncultured bacterium. Its description in RNAcentral is "partial 16S ribosomal RNA". It matches the Rfam family "Bacterial small subunit ribosomal RNA", at positions 524 to 776 of the family's 1533-position model. The record is from RNAcentral.